This 851-nucleotide ribosomal RNA is filed under the name Streptomyces atrovirens. Its description in RNAcentral is "bacterial SSU rRNA". It matches the Rfam family "Bacterial small subunit ribosomal RNA", at positions 1 to 871 of the family's 1533-position model. Lineage: Bacteria; Bacillati; Actinomycetota; Actinomycetes; Kitasatosporales; Streptomycetaceae. The record is from RNAcentral.
AAGAGUUUGAUCCUGGCUCAGGACGAACGCUGGCGGCGUGCUUAACACAUGCAAGUCGAACGAUGAACCACUUCGGUGGGGAUUAGUGGCGAACGGGUGAGUAACACGUGGGCAAUCUGCCCUGCACUCUGGGACAAGCCCUGGAAACGGGGUCUAAUACCGGAUACUGACCCGCCUGGGCAUCCAGGCGGUUCGAAAGCUCCGGCGGUGCAGGAUGAGCCCGCGGCCUAUCAGCUUGUUGGUGAGGUAACGGCUCACCAAGGCGACGACGGGUAGCCGGCCUGAGAGGGCGACCGGCCACACUGGGACUGAGACACGGCCCAGACUCCUACGGGAGGCAGCAGUGGGGAAUAUUGCACAAUGGGCGCAAGCCUGAUGCAGCGACGCCGCGUGAGGGAUGACGGCCUUCGGGUUGUAAACCUCUUUCAGCAGGGAAGAAGCGCAAGUGACGGUACCUGCAGAAGAAGCGCCGGCUAACUACGUGCCAGCAGCCGCGGUAAUACGUAGGGCGCGAGCGUUGUCCGGAAUUAUUGGGCGUAAAGAGCUCGUAGGCGGCUUGUCGCGUCGGUUGUGAAAGCCCGGGGCUUAACCCCGGGUCUGCAGUCGAUACGGGCAGGCUAGAGUUCGGUAGGGGAGAUCGGAAUUCCUGGUGUAGCGGUGAAAUGCGCAGAUAUCAGGAGGAACACCGGUGGCGAAGGCGGAUCUCUGGGCCGUUACUGACGCUGAGGAGCGAAAGCGUGGGGAGCGAACAGGAUUAGAUACCCUGGUAGUCCACGCCGUAAACGGUGGGCACUAGGUGUGGGCGACAUUCCACGUCGUCCGUGCCGCAGCUAACGCAUUUAAGUGCACCG